ACCAAUUCUGGGGGAUAAAUUGUUCCUCUUGGGUAUAAUGGCUUGGACGCUACAUUAAUCUUUAGUGUGGAUAUCCGGAUUUAUGGUUUCUUCAAUACCAUUUGGAUCGUGAAACGCCACAUACAUUU
Small nucleolar RNA from Cornus florida, 128 nucleotides. NCBI's taxonomy places the organism in Eukaryota, Viridiplantae, Streptophyta, Magnoliopsida, Cornales, Cornaceae. The record is from RefSeq and is a predicted model, not a curated record.